UACGGAAGGCAGCAGUGGGGAAUAUUGCACAAUGGGCGCAAGCCUGAUGCAGCCAUGCCGCGUGUAUGAAGAAGGCCUUCGGGUUGUAAAGUACUUUCAGCGGGGAGGAAGGCGGUGGAGUUAAUAGCUUCACCGAUUGACGUUACCCGCAGAAGAAGCACCGGCUAACUCCGUGCCAGCAGCCGCGGUAAUACGGAGGGUGCAAGCGUUAAUCGGAAUUACUGGGCGUAAAGCGCACGCAGGCGGUCUGUCAAGUCGGAUGUGAAAUCCCCGGGCUUAACCUGGGAACUGCAUUCGAACUGGCAGGCUAGAGUCUUGUAGAGGGGGUAGAAGUUCCAGGUGUAGCGGUGAAAUGCGUAGAGAUCUGGAGGAAUACCGGUGCGAAGGCGGCCCCUGGGACAAGACUGACGCUCAGGUGCGAAAGCGUGGGGAGCAAACAGGAUUAGAUAC
RNAcentral lists this ribosomal RNA (450 nucleotides) under uncultured bacterium. RNAcentral's name for it is "bacterial SSU rRNA". It matches the Rfam family "Bacterial small subunit ribosomal RNA", at positions 340 to 785 of the family's 1533-position model. The record is from RNAcentral.